GACGAACGCUGGCGGCGUGCUUAACACAUGCAAGUCGAACGCUGAAGCUCAGCUUUUGUUGGGUGGAUGAGUGGCGAACGGGUGAGUAACACGUGAGUAACCUGCCCCCUUCUUUGGGAUAACGCCCGGAAACGGGUGCUAAUACUGGAUAUUCACUGGUCUUCGCAUGGGGGUUGGUGGAAAGGGUUUUUCUGGUGGGGGAUGGGCUCGCGGCCUAUCAGCUUGUUGGUGGGGUGAUGGCCUACCAAGGCUUUGACGGGUAGCCGGCCUGAGAGGGUGACCGGUCACAUUGGGACUGAGAUACGGCCCAGGCUCCUACGGGAGGCAGCAGUGGGGAAUAUGGCACAAUGGGCGCAAGCCUGAUGCAGCGACGCCGCGUGAGGGAUGGAGGCCUUCGGGUUGUGAACCUCUUUCGCUCAUGGUCAAGCCGCAACAAUGGUUGUGGUGAGGGUAGUGGGUAAAGAAGCGCCGGCUAACUACGUG
Molecule: ribosomal RNA, 483 nt
Filed under: uncultured bacterium
Lineage: Bacteria
Description: partial 16S ribosomal RNA
Rfam family: Bacterial small subunit ribosomal RNA
Source: RNAcentral